Molecule: ribosomal RNA, 1023 nt
Filed under: uncultured marine bacterium
Lineage: Bacteria
Description: bacterial SSU rRNA
Rfam family: Bacterial small subunit ribosomal RNA
Source: RNAcentral
GAACGAGUUAUCUGAACCUUCGGGGAACGAUAACGGCGUCGAGCGGCGGACGGGUGAGUAAUGCCUAGGAAAUUGCCCUGAUGUGGGGGAUAACCAUUGGAAACGAUGGCUAAUACCGCAUAAUGCCUACGGGCCAAAGAGGGGGACCUUCGGGCCUCUCGCGUCAGGAUAUGCCUAGGUGGGAUUAGCUAGUUGGUGAGGUAAGGGCUCACCAAGGCGACGAUCCCUAGCUGGUCUGAGAGGAUGAUCAGCCACACUGGAACUGAGACACGGUCCAGACUCCUACGGGAGGCAGCAGUGGGGAAUAUUGCACAAUGGGCGCAAGCCUGAUGCAGCCAUGCCGCGUGUGUGAAGAAGGCCUUCGGGUUGUAAAGCACUUUCAGUCGUGAAGAAGGUAGUGUAGUUAAUAGCUGCAUUAUUUGACGUUAGCGACAGAAGAAGCACCGGCUAACUCCGUGCCAGCAGCCGCGGUAAUACGGAGGGUGCGAGCGUUAAUCGGAAUUACUGGGCGUAAAGCGCAUGCAGGUGGUUUGUUAAGUCAGAUGUGAAAGCCCGGGGCUCAACCUCGGAAUUGCAUUUGAAACUGGCAGACUAGAGUACUGUAGAGGGGGGUAGAAUUUCAGGUGUAGCGGUGAAAUGCGUAGAGAUCUGAAGGAAUACCGGUGGCGAAGGCGGCCCCCUGGACAGAUACUGACACUCAGAUGCGAAAGCGUGGGGAGCAAACAGGAUUAGAUACCCUGGUAGUCCACGCCGUAAACGAUGUCUACUUGGAGGUUGUGGCCUUGAGCCGUGGCUUUCGGAGCUAACGCGUUAAGUAGACCGCCUGGGGAGUACGGUCGCAAGAUUAAAACUCAAAUGAAUUGACGGGGGCCCGCACAAGCGGUGGAGCAUGUGGUUUAAUUCGAUGCAACGCGAAGAACCUUACCUACUCUUGACAUCCAGAGAACUUUCCAGAAGAUGGAUUGGUGCCUUCGGGAACUCUGAGACAGGUGCUGCAUGGCUGUCGUCAGCUCGUGUUGUGAA